Molecule: ribosomal RNA, 301 nt
Filed under: uncultured bacterium
Lineage: Bacteria
Description: partial 16S ribosomal RNA
Rfam family: Bacterial small subunit ribosomal RNA
Source: RNAcentral
CAGUAGCCGCGGGAAUACGUAGGGUGCAAGCGUUAUCCGGAAUUAUUGGGCGUAAAGAGCUCGUAGGCGGUUUGUCGCGUCUGCUGUGAAAACUGGAGGCUCAACCUCCAGCCUGCAGUGGGUACGGGCAGACUAGAGCGCGGUAGGGGAGAUUGGAAUUCCUGGUGUAGCGGUGGAAUGCGCAGAUAUCAGGAGGAACACCGAUGGCGAAGGCAGAUCUCUGGGCCGUAACUGACGCUGAGGAGCGAAAGCGUGGGGAGCGAACAGGAUUAGAUACCCCCGUAGUCCCUGUCUCUUAUAC